Molecule: ribosomal RNA, 513 nt
Filed under: uncultured bacterium
Lineage: Bacteria
Description: partial 16S ribosomal RNA
Rfam family: Bacterial small subunit ribosomal RNA
Source: RNAcentral
UGGGGAAUUUUGGACAAUGGGCGCAAGCCUGAUCCAGCCAUGCCGCGUGCGGGAAGAAGGCCUUCGGGUUGUAACCGCUUUUGUCAGGGAAGAAAUCUUCUGAGUUAAUACCUCGGGAGGAUGACGGUACCUGAAGAAUAAGCACCGGCUAACUACGUGCCAGCAGCCGCGGUAAUACGUAGGGUGCAAGCGUUAAUCGGAAUUACUGGGCGUAAAGCGUGCGCAGGCGGUUUUGUAAGACAGAGGUGAAAUCCCCGGGCUCAACCUGGGAACUGCCUUUGUGACUGCAAGGCUUGAUGCGGCAGAGGGGGAUGGAAUUCCGCGUGUAGCAGUGAAAUGCGUAGAUAUGCGGAGGAACACCGAUGGCGAAGGCAAUCCCCUGGGCCUGCACUGACGCUCAUGCACGAAAGCGUGGGGAGCAAACAGGAUUAGAUACCCUGGUAGUCCACGCCCUAAACGAUGUCAACUGGUUGUUGGGAAGGUUCCUUCUCAGUAACGUAGCUAACGCGUGAA